GCCGCCUUAGCUCAGUUGGUAGUAGCAACUCAUUCGUAAUGAGUAGGUCGCUGGUUCGAGUCCGGCAUGCGGCACCA
This 77-nucleotide transfer RNA is filed under the name Erysipelotrichaceae bacterium. RNAcentral's name for it is "tRNA-Thr". It matches the Rfam family "tRNA". From Rfam's summary of the family: Transfer RNA (tRNA) molecules are approximately 80 nucleotides in length. Their secondary structure includes four short double-helical elements and three loops (D, anti-codon, and T loops). Further hydrogen bonds mediate the characteristic L-shaped molecular structure. tRNAs have two regions of fundamental functional importance: the anti-codon, which is responsible for specific mRNA codon recognition, and the 3' end, to which the tRNAs corresponding amino acid is attached (by aminoacyl-tRNA synthetases). tRNAs cope with the degeneracy of the genetic code in two manners: having more than one tRNA (with a specific anti-codon) for a particular amino acid; and 'wobble' base-pairing, i.e. permitting non-standard base-pairing at the 3rd anti-codon position. The record is from RNAcentral. Lineage: Bacteria; Bacillati; Bacillota; Erysipelotrichia; Erysipelotrichales; Erysipelotrichaceae.